This 1120-nucleotide ribosomal RNA is filed under the name Bacillus subtilis. RNAcentral describes it as "bacterial SSU rRNA". It matches the Rfam family "Bacterial small subunit ribosomal RNA", at positions 360 to 1472 of the family's 1533-position model. Lineage: Bacteria; Bacillati; Bacillota; Bacilli; Caryophanales; Bacillaceae. The record is from RNAcentral.
AUUUUUCCGCAAUGGACGAAAUUUGACGGAGCAACGCCGCGUGAGUGAUGAAGGUUUUCGGAUCGUAAAGCUCUGUUGUUAGGGAAGAACAAGUGCCGUUCAAAUAGGGCGGCACCUUGACGGUACCUAACCAGAAAGCCACGGCUAACUACGUGCCAGCAGCCGCGGUAAUACGUAGGUGGCAAGCGUUGUCCGGAAUUAUUGGGCGUAAAGGGCUCGCAGGCGGUUUCUUAAGUCUGAUGUGAAAGCCCCCGGCUCAACCGGGGAGGGUCAUUGGAAACUGGGGAACUUGAGUGCAGAAGAGGAGAGUGGAAUUCCACGUGUAGCGGUGAAAUGCGUAGAGAUGUGGAGGAACACCAGUGGCGAAGGCGACUCUCUGGUCUGUAACUGACGCUGAGGAGCGAAAGCGUGGGGAGCGAACAGGAUUAGAUACCCUGGUAGUCCACGCCGUAAACGAUGAGUGCUAAGUGUUAGGGGGUUUCCGCCCCUUAGUGCUGCAGCUAACGCAUUAAGCACUCCGCCUGGGGAGUACGGUCGCAAGACUGAAACUCAAAGGAAUUGACGGGGGCCCGCACAAGCGGUGGAGCAUGUGGUUUAAUUCGAAGCAACGCGAAGAACCUUACCAGGUCUUGACAUCCUCUGACAAUCCUAGAGAUAGGACGUCCCCUUCGGGGGCAGAGUGACAGGUGGUGCAUGGUUGUCGUCAGCUCGUGUCGUGAGAUGUUGGGUUAAGUCCCGCAACGAGCGCAACCCUUGAUCUUAGUUGCCAGCAUUCAGUUGGGCACUCUAAGGUGACUGCCGGUGACAAACCGGAGGAAGGUGGGGAUGACGUCAAAUCAUCAUGCCCCUUAUGACCUGGGCUACACACGUGCUACAAUGGACAGAACAAAGGGCAGCGAAACCGCGAGGUUAAGCCAAUCCCACAAAUCUGUUCUCAGUUCGGAUCGCAGUCUGCAACUCGACUGCGUGAAGCUGGAAUCGCUAGUAAUCGCGGAUCAGCAUGCCGCGGUGAAUACGUUCCCGGGCCUUGUACACACCGCCCGUCACACCACGAGAGUUUGUAACACCCGAAGUCGGUGAGGUAACCUUUAUGGAGCCAGCCGCCGAAGGUGACAGAGGG